RNAcentral lists this long non-coding RNA (954 nucleotides) under Sorghum bicolor (sorghum). RNAcentral's name for it is "long non-coding RNA (SBIC_LNC015399)". Lineage: Eukaryota; Viridiplantae; Streptophyta; Magnoliopsida; Poales; Poaceae. The record is from RNAcentral.
UAACUAGUUUUUUUAGAUAAAGGAUAGUUUAUAUCCAUCUUUAUAUACCAUAAGUAGAAUCAGACCAAUUAUAAAUUAUUACACAAAGCGGUCAAUCGACCAACAAAGGACCCAAACCACUAAGGAAAAACGAAAUGGGAAGAAAAGUUUUGACUAUGAAGUACCAAUAAACCUAGCUGAUAACCAACCAUUAGAUCUAAAGAAAUGUAGAGCUGAUGUCGCCAAAAACUGUCUAGCAAAUAGCAUCUGGUCCUUUAGAAAGUCACACCGCUACAGUCCUGCCCAUUGCCGGAGCCAAUGUAUUCCUCUGAAUAGUACCUGCAAAAAAGUUUUCAGUCUGCAUUUGUCAAAAACCACUUUGUUUCUUGUUAUCCAAACCGUCCAGCAUUACACUAUCGCUGCUGUUAAUAAUAGAGAACUAUGAAUUUUACCACCCAUCUUAGACCAAUUAUCAAAUAAAUCAUCUAUGCUGAGGGGAGGUGCGUUAUGACUAGUAUUGAAGGUUGACUGUGGUUGCUCCGCGUUGCCAAUGAUUUUGGUGUUUCUUGAUCAUACAACAGUUUUGGAUCUGAAAUGAACUUGCGUAGUUUUUAAUACUGCUACAACUACUAUCUCAUAAGGUGUAUGUCUGGUUCUAAGAAAGGAUUGAUGUACUGGACGCACAUAUGGUAAUUAAUAUACAACACAGGCUAUAGCGAGUGAUAGUAAGAUUUCUUUUUCUUUUGUACCAUUCAUUGGAGAUAUUUGUAGAGAACCGGCCAGGCUAUCUCAAAUAGAAACAUAUAUAAGUUAAAAAGAUGGCUUGUGAACAGUAACUUUUGUAUAUACCUUGUCAACAAACAACGUCUUUCGAAAAUUCAAAUUUUGUAUUCCAAUAUAUAUGAGAACAGAAAACCAGUAUCCUGGUUUCUUAAAGGAUAAAAAAUUUGUAAACUAUAUAUUUAUUGAUUCUUC